This is an RNA transcript of Hylaeus volcanicus, 1505 nucleotides long. It is a transcript of the gene named axonemal dynein light intermediate polypeptide 1, with no coding region annotated. The transcript has 8 exons. The record is from RefSeq and is a predicted model, not a curated record. NCBI's taxonomy places the organism in Eukaryota, Metazoa, Arthropoda, Insecta, Hymenoptera, Colletidae.
UCGAUAUCGCUAUGACAAUUGCUAACAAUUUGAUAUCUACUCUUUCGUGCUGAGAAACAAACUAAACACCUACAAAUGUGCAAGUAACAUUUCAAUAAGUAAUAAAUUAGUUACUGAACAGUAAAUUGAAAUAUAUUUGUUAUUUCAUAAGUGUACGUAACGCAAUAUAAUAAUGGCAACAGCAAUACAGGAUCGUACUAUUCCCACUAUGGAUACUUUGGUCAAAUAUGACAACCCGAUUUUGGAUACUAUUCGGCCAGAAAAGAUACGUAAAGAGACAGCACCAAAAAUUGGUGCAACAGUUUGUAAAGUUCAAACGACUCCUCUUACGGUUGAUAUGCGACGCGAGACUGCCGAUAUUCUGAAUAGGAUUUUGCCUCCAAAACAAUGGGAAGAAGAUGGUCAAACAUGGAUUCAACAAGUGUCGAGUACGCCAGCAACAAGGCUCGAUGUUAUUAAUUUGCAAGAGCAACUUGAUAUGAGACUACAACAACGGCAAGCAAGAGAAACUGGUAUUUGUCCAGUACGCAGGGAACUUUACACGCAAUGUUUUGAUGAAAUAAUACGUCAGGUAACUGUAAAUUGCUCUGAACGUGGUUUACUUUUGCUUAGAGUUCGAGAUGAACUCAAAAUGACAUUAUCCGCAUAUCAGAUUUUGUAUCAAAGUAGUAUUGCUUUCGGUAUGCGCAAAGCUCUACAAGCCGAACAAGGAAAAGAGGAUUUAAUUGCUACCGCGGAUGAGCUGCAGUUGCAAAAAAGUGACCUAGAGAAGACUGUUGCCGAAUUGAAGCAGAAAUUUGAACAGGCGCAAAAAAGAGCAGCUGAAUUAAGAGAAGCUGAGGAGAAGAAACAUAUGGAAGAAAUUCAAUUUCUUAGAAAAACAAAUCAACAGUUAAAGACACAACUAGAAGAGACAUCGUUAGAUCACAUAGUUACUGAUACUGGUAUGGUCGAUGCAAGCAUAUUCUUUGAAUGCUUACAUCAGCUGCUUUAUCCGAUUCAGGAGAAAGAGUGACGGUAUCUACAGAGUCCUGUAUCGCAUCCGCUUUAUUCGUACUGUCCAUCAUUUCGCUCAUUUUUUUUAUUACUAUUUGCGCUUGGAGAGCAUCCUAAAUGUGAACGUAGAUUUCAAACGUGCCUGUCUCCAUGCUGCACGCUUUUCAGCUCUUAGUACUCUCUGCUCGGCAGGACUCAGAUGACUUUCUUCAUCUUCAUCCGAAAUUAUACCCUAUGAACGAAGAGAAAUAUUUGAUAAAAAUUGAAGUUUGCAUCAAAAUUUCAUUUAAUAAUUUAAAUCAAAACAAUCUUCUUUAUUUCUUAUAUUCGCAUUGAAUCAUUUCAAUCGAUUAUUAACAUUUCAACAAAAAUUUAUAUUCCUCAUCUCUUUCGGACUUGAUAACAAAUAUUAUGAUACUUAAAUUUGCCUAAUUUUUUCCGGAUUGAUUUAGAGUACGUGAUCGAUAUAAAUAUAAAAUUAAUUGCAAUGAUUAAAAAGAUUCAAUAAA